Molecule: transfer RNA, 55 nt
Filed under: Elateroidea sp. BMNH 1274729
Lineage: Eukaryota; Metazoa; Arthropoda; Insecta; Coleoptera
Description: tRNA-Thr
Source: RNAcentral
GCUAAAAUAAUUUAAUAAAAAUAUUGGUCUUGUAAACCAAAAAUAAAAUAAACCU